AACCGCUUGAGCUACAGGCACUGAGCCAGAUGACUAGGUUUUUCAUAGGCAUGUGUGAGAUGUGCUUCCCUCAAACCUGGUUAUAAUCAACAAACUAAUACUUUAACACAUUACCUGUCUGAUG
Otolemur garnettii (small-eared galago) is the source of this 124-nucleotide non-coding RNA. Lineage: Eukaryota; Metazoa; Chordata; Mammalia; Primates; Galagidae. The record is from Rfam.